This 258-nucleotide ribosomal RNA is filed under the name uncultured bacterium. Its description in RNAcentral is "partial 16S ribosomal RNA". It matches the Rfam family "Bacterial small subunit ribosomal RNA", at positions 524 to 776 of the family's 1533-position model. The record is from RNAcentral.
UACGGAGGGUGCGAGCGUUUGUCCGGAAUCAUUGGGCGUAAAGAGCUUGUAGGCGGUUUGUCGCGUCUGCCGUGAAAGCCCAGGGCUUAACCCUGGGUCUGCGGUGGGUACGGGCAGACUAGAGUGUGGUAGGGGUGACUGGAAUUCCUGGUGUAGCGGUGGAAUGCGCAGAUAUCAGGAGGAACACCGAUGGCGAAGGCAGGUCACUGGGGCCGCAAACUGACGCUGGAGGAGCGAAAAGCAUGGGGAGCGAACAGG